CCGAGUACCGGGUCUUCGGGCCCUGCUCCCACCCUCUGUGUACCUACCUAUUUUUCGUUGCCUCGGCGGGGCUGAUCCCGCGCGACCCCUGUGGCCGCGUGGGGGACCCGCCGGGGGGACACAACCUAAACUCUGAUUUAACGUCGAGUCUGAGAAAAACAAGAAUAAAUCA
Molecule: unclassified non-coding RNA, 172 nt
Filed under: uncultured Dactylaria
Lineage: Eukaryota; Fungi; Ascomycota; Orbiliomycetes; Orbiliales; Orbiliaceae
Description: sequence contains ITS1
Source: RNAcentral